UUUUAAAAAGCUCUACUAAGCAUAAUAUUGAAGAUAUUAAAAUUUAUUAAAAUUUUUAAAGG
RNAcentral lists this transfer RNA (62 nucleotides) under Bisetocreagris titanium. Its description in RNAcentral is "tRNA-Phe". The record is from RNAcentral. Lineage: Eukaryota; Metazoa; Arthropoda; Arachnida; Pseudoscorpiones; Neobisiidae.